This 27-nucleotide transfer RNA is filed under the name Passiflora organensis. Its description in RNAcentral is "partial tRNA-His". The record is from RNAcentral. Lineage: Eukaryota; Viridiplantae; Streptophyta; Magnoliopsida; Malpighiales; Passifloraceae.
GGAUGUAGCCAAGUGGAUAAAGGCAGU